AAUGUUAGAUUAGUAUUUUUGUUUAGCAAAAAAGGGCGCAACAAGCGCCCAAAUUGCAGUAUAGUAUUAUUUUAUUAUAAAAGUUUCUUGUUAAUGACCUCUGUGAAGUGUGAAACGGUGCGAAUGUAUGCUAAUGACUCUUGUAAACUGCACUAAUGAUUUAAUUAUCUAUUUGAGAAUGUUUAAACAACGCAUUGCUUUUCUAGUGGGCAGAUUGCCGGUUUUUUGCCUCUAGGAGUCAAAGGAGGCACCUGCCAAUUCAAUUGUUUCAACACAGUUUCCUUGAUUGGUGUAAAUAAAAGAGCGAAACAUAAAUUAUCGACAUAACGAUUAGAUUAAUCGGGAAUAGAUUCUUGGUAACAGAUCGUUUGUUUCUUUGUAUAUUUCGAGUCAGUCUAAAGUGAAAGUAAAUUUUUCCGAGGUGUGGUAGAAUUAAAAUAAGAUCGUUGGGACCAUGUGGGCAGUGGUGGGUGCCCCGUUAGGAGGCUAUGCGUUAUAAUAGUGUAAUUGCAAAAAAUAGGGCGGAUUGUUUGCUGUGGGGUCACGUUCGACGUCAUGCUUCCCGACGAUUUCCUCGCAAAAAAACCUACCCGACUGGCCGCCUACACCACCAGGAAAAUGAGCACGAACGAGAUUUUUACAAUCAUUAAAAAAUAAUAACAAUGCCCAAAUAUUCAUUUUUAUGUCAUUUCCUGCAAGCUUAUUUCUAAUAAAACACAAAAGAAAUCGUC
Molecule: long non-coding RNA, 731 nt
Organism: Tribolium castaneum (red flour beetle)
Lineage: Eukaryota; Metazoa; Arthropoda; Insecta; Coleoptera; Tenebrionidae
Exons: 2
Source: RefSeq, a predicted model, not a curated record